UUCGCCCUUAGAGUUUGAUCCUGGCUCAGGAUGAACGCUAGCUACAGGCUUAACACAUGCAAGUCGAGGGGCAGCGGGAUUGAAGCUUGCUUCAAUUGCCGGCGACCGGCGCACGGGUGAGUAACGCGUAUCCAACCUUCCGUACACUCAGGGAUAGCCUUUCGAAAGAAAGAUUAAUACCUGAUGGUAUGAUGAGAUUGCAUGAUAGCAUCAUUAAAGAUUUAUCGGUGUACGAUGGGGAUGCGUUCCAUUAGGUAGUAGGCGGGGUAACGGCCCACCUAGCCGACGAUGGAUAGGGGUUCUGAGAGGAAGGUCCCCCACAUUGGAACUGAGACACGGUCCAAACUCCUACGGGAGGCAGCAGUGAGGAAUAUUGGUCAAUGGACGAGAGUCUGAACCAGCCAAGUAGCGUGAAGGAUGAAGGUCCUACGGAUUGUAAACUUCUUUUAUAAGGGAAUAAACCCUUCCACGUGUGGGAGCUUGUAUGUACCUUAUGAAUAAGCAUCGGCUAACUCCGUGCCAGCAGCCGCGGUAAUACGGAGGAUGCGAGCGUUAUCCGGAUUUAUUGGGUUUAAAGGGAGCGCAGACGGGUCGUUAAGUCAGCUGUGAAAGUUUGGGGCUCAACCUUAAAAUUGCAGUUGAUACUGGCGUCCUUGAGUGCGGUUGAGGUGUGCGGAAUUCGUGGUGUAGCGGUGAAAUGCUUAGAUAUCACGAAGAACUCCGAUUGCGAAGGCAGCACACUAAGCCGUAACUGACGUUCAUGCUCGAAAGUGUGGGUAUCAAACAGGAUUAGAUACCCUGGUAGUCCACACGGUAAACGAUGGAUACUCGCUGUUGGCGAUAUACUGUCAGCGGCUUAGCGAAAGCGUUAAGUAUCCCACCUGGGGAGUACGCCGGCAACGGU
RNAcentral lists this ribosomal RNA (904 nucleotides) under uncultured bacterium. Its description in RNAcentral is "bacterial SSU rRNA". It matches the Rfam family "Bacterial small subunit ribosomal RNA", at positions 1 to 895 of the family's 1533-position model. The record is from RNAcentral.